This 305-nucleotide ribosomal RNA is filed under the name uncultured bacterium. RNAcentral's name for it is "bacterial SSU rRNA". It matches the Rfam family "Bacterial small subunit ribosomal RNA", at positions 335 to 657 of the family's 1533-position model. The record is from RNAcentral.
GGUCCUACGGGGGGCAGCAGUGGGGAAUAUUGCACAAUGGGGGAAACCCUGAUGCAGCGACGCCGCGUGAGUGAAGAAGUAUUUCGGUAUGUAAAGCUCUAUCAGCAGGGAAGAAAAUGACGGUACCUGACUAAGAAGCCCCGGCUAACUACGUGCCAGCAGCCGCGGUAAUACUUAGGGGGCAAGCGUUAUCCGGAUUUACUGGGUGUAAAGGGCGUGCAGCCGGAGAGGCAAGUCAGAUGUGAAAUCCGCGGGCUCAACUCGCGAACUGCAUUUGAAACUGCUUCCCUUGAGUAUCGGAGAGG